CAAAUUGAAAAGGCAAUUGGUGAAGAGACGUGGGGGUAAAGUUCUUAAGACUGGAAUGGUUAAGAAGCAGAAGACUGCGGAUUAUCUUGAUGAUCAGCCACCUGCAACUGAUGCAUGGACUCGAUACAUGGCUGAAGUGAAGAAAUACAGACAGCAAGCAUGUGAUGAAGAUGGGAAAACACGCCCUCUUGUUAAAUAACAUUUUGAAUAUAAACUUUUAUGUAAAUAUUUGUAUGUAACUAUCUUGCUGAAGCUCAAGGCAUCUUAUUCUUGACAUAGUUAUGUUUAUAGAUUGUUUGUUUCCCUUUUGUAUUUAAAUAAUUUGCCUUUUUUUAUUAAUAGAUGCAAUAAAUGUGAAUUUUCUCCAUAUCAGAUUA
Molecule: long non-coding RNA, 377 nt
Filed under: Stegodyphus dumicola
Lineage: Eukaryota; Metazoa; Arthropoda; Arachnida; Araneae; Eresidae
Description: uncharacterized LOC118204008, transcript variant X2
Source: RNAcentral